Herpailurus yagouaroundi (jaguarundi) is the source of this 1251-nucleotide long non-coding RNA. RefSeq lists it as uncharacterized. The transcript has 4 exons. NCBI's taxonomy places the organism in Eukaryota, Metazoa, Chordata, Mammalia, Carnivora, Felidae. The record is from RefSeq and is a predicted model, not a curated record.
UACCAGCUUGACCUUUGGCUGUCUUGGGGGAGAUGGUCUGUGGGACCACCCCAAAAAACACCCUGGGCUAUGAACUAUAAAGGGCAAAGAUGCACGGUCCUCUUCUUUUGUAAAUUCACGUGACUGAAUAAAAAGUAAAUAAUAACAUUGACGCUCCCUUUCUAUCAACUCUCGCCCCAGUUCUCACCCCUGCCUUUAAGAACCCACUUUCCUUACUCCUGGGAAGAAAGAAAGCAGCUCUUUCUGCUGAUUGCAAAUGAUCCUAGUGAUAACCCUGAGUUCUAGUUACACAAACGAAAGGGAAUCUUGUGAUCAGACCCAGAUUCGCUGUGUCACUCGUAUCCACCUGUAUACAGUUAAAACCUCUCACCGAACUAGAGAUCCAUUUGUACAUGUAGCAGUCGUCUGAGCACAGUGUAACCUUGGAUACCAAGAAACCCAACUUUCUCAGUCUCGUUGCUAAGGCAACAGGACAGAGUGGGUGUGGGGGAGCCCAGCAUGUCUAUCUACAUGCUGUGCUACCAGCAGGCGGAAUGGGAUGGAGGGCUGGGGAGGGUCUUGGGCUGCCCACCUCUCCGAGGCCUUAACUGCAAAGGCCGCAGGGAUAGUGUAAUGUCCUCUGUCACUGAUAGCCGGGGAACCUCUACAGCCCAGUGCCCUUGCUCUCCUUCAGGACGCGGAGGGAGAAGAGGGUCCCUGAUGCCAUCUGGACCGUCGUGGAGAAUCAACUCUCAGGUGCCUUCCAUCCAGGCAGUGCCUCCAGGGCCAGGCCUUCACGACCCCGAACCACCUGCACCCACCCUAUUCAGGCUACAAGCUCUGUGUGCACAGGGUGUGCACUAGGCACUCAGGAAAUGCCCACUGAAUGAAUGAGUCUGAUCAACUCUGGAGGCAGUAGCAGAAGCACCGGCACAGCAGAGUCUGGUGGAGGACAGCCACAGCUGUGUACAAUCCUGUCCGUCAAUUCUUUUGGUAUUUACCUCUACACCUCUGCAAAAUAUUCUUAUACUACCAUUUCCUGCAAGUUUUUCUCAGUGUUACGCAUCAUCCAAGGACUUCCCACCGUGGCAAGUAAGAAUUUAGCUCGCUUUCAGUGCUCUUCCCACCUCCUUGGCCCCAUCCUGCCUCGACUUCACAUCCCUGCAUCCUCCCAAUUAAGUUAUAUUUGUAGUUAUAAUUGUGGUUAGAUCCAUAUCUACAUUAUUAUCGCUGUGUAAAUGCUAUUACAGCAUGCUCUGUGAUACUUAGAGG